CGAGCACGCGCGUGUGGCAUAUCAAUAAGCGGAGGAAAAGAAACUAACAAGGAUUCCCUUAGUAACGGCGAGUGAAGCGGGAAGAGCUCAAAUUUGAAAUCUUCAAGGUUCUACCUUGACGAAUUGUAGUUUAUAGAAGUGUUUUCUGUUAGUGGAGUGGCAAAAGUUCUUUGGAAUAGGACAUCAUAGAGGGUGAGAAUCCCGUAUUUGGUCAUUCCUCCUAGCGUUGUGAUACACUUUCAACGAGUCGGAUUGUUUGGGAAUGCAGUCCAAAAUGGGUGGUAAAUUUCAUCUAAAGCUAAAUAUUGGCGAGAGACCGAUAGCGAACAAGUACCGUGAGGGAAAGAUGAAAAGAACUUUGAAAAGAGAGUUAAACAGUACGUGAAAUUGUCAAAAGGGAAGCGUUUGACACCAGUGUUGUUUUUCCGAAAAUCAAUUACGAAUGUUUUAUUUUUGAGGAGUUAUGACUUCAUCGGCUUGCUCCUUUCUUUACGAAACUUUCUUAAUGCACUUUUCGGUUAACAAGUCAACAUCAAUUUCUUUUGUUGUAAAAGGGUAUGAGGAAGGUGGCUUUCUUUUCGGAGAAAGUGUUUAUAGCCUUGUGCCUCUGCAAUCGGAGAGAUUGAGGUCUGCAGCGUAGAUCCUUCGGGGUUAGAUACAUUUGUGCUAAGUUAUAGCUUUUCAUAGACAACUUGUUGACUAUGUUAAGUCUUGUAGCUUACUCGCUUAUGCUAUUUUACCUACGCUUAGGAUGUUGAGCGCAUGUCUCUCUCU
This 774-nucleotide ribosomal RNA is filed under the name uncultured Neocallimastigales. RNAcentral's name for it is "partial large subunit ribosomal RNA". It matches the Rfam family "Eukaryotic large subunit ribosomal RNA", at positions 19 to 634 of the family's 3401-position model. Lineage: Eukaryota; Fungi; Neocallimastigomycota; Neocallimastigomycetes; Neocallimastigales. The record is from RNAcentral.